Molecule: long non-coding RNA, 354 nt
Filed under: Androctonus crassicauda
Lineage: Eukaryota; Metazoa; Arthropoda; Arachnida; Scorpiones; Buthidae
Source: RNAcentral
GCGUAAUAUGCAAAUUAGUGUUUCACUUAUACAUUCAUCUAUGUUUUCAUUCUGUCUUGUAACUUGAAACUACCAUGCCCUGUGAGGAGGUUUGUAAAAUAUGGAAAUAUAGAUCGGAAGGGCUAAAUCAGACUGAAAUUGCUAAAAGAAUUGGAAGGACACAACAAACAAUCUCUAAAGUACUGAAGAAAGAUAGAACUUUCAGUAAUAAACCAAAAUCUGGGAGGCCAAAAGCAACAACUGCAAGACUGGACAAAAAUAUUCUGUUUAGCUUCAACUCAAAUGCUAUCCUUCUCUCAAAUAAAAUCACGAACAGGAGAGGUGUGUCCAAGGACAAUAUGCAACAGAUUACAU